Molecule: ribosomal RNA, 388 nt
Filed under: uncultured bacterium
Lineage: Bacteria
Description: bacterial SSU rRNA
Rfam family: Bacterial small subunit ribosomal RNA
Source: RNAcentral
AUUGAACGCUGGCGGCAUGCUUUACACAUGCAAGUCGAGCGGCAGCGCGGGGCAACCCUGGCGGCGAGCGGCGAACGGGUGAGUAAUGCAUCGGAACGUACCCUGGAGUGGGGGAUAACGCCGCGAAAGCGGCGCUAAUACCGCAUAUGCUCUGAGGAGGAAAGUGGGGGGACCGCAAGGCCUCACGCUCUGGGAGCGGCCGAUGUCCGAUUAGCUAGUUGGUGGGGUAAAGCUUACCAAGGCGACGAUCGGUAGCUGGUCUGAGAGGAUGAUCAGCCACACUGGGACUGAGACACGGCCCAGACUCCUACGGGAGGCAGCAGUGGGGAAUUUUGGACAAUGGGGGCAACCCUGAUCCAGCCAUGCCGCGUGAGUGAAGAAGGCCUUC